Molecule: ribosomal RNA, 115 nt
Filed under: Tepidiphilus baoligensis
Lineage: Bacteria; Pseudomonadati; Pseudomonadota; Hydrogenophilia; Hydrogenophilales; Hydrogenophilaceae
Source: RNAcentral
UCUGACGCCCAUGGCGCGCCGGCCCCACGCCUUCCCAUCCCGAACAGGACCGUGAAACGGCGCCGCGCCGAUGAUACUGGAGCUCCGCCUCCGGGAACGUAGGUCAGCGUCAGAC